GGGGAAUUUUACGCAAUGGGCGAAAGCCUGACGUAGCGACACCGCGUGAGCGAAGAAGUCCUUUGGGGUGUAAAGCUCUGUCAGCAGGGACGAAAUAAAUGACGGUACCUGCAGAGGAAGCAUCGGCUAACUACGUGCCAGCAGCCGCGGUAAGACGUAGGAUGCAAGCGUUGUCCGGAUUCAUUGGGCGUAAAGAGUUCGUAGGCGGUUUGUUAAGUCUGAUGUUAAAUAUUAGGGCCCAACCCUGAAACUGCAUUGGAUACUGGCAGACUGGAGUGCAGUAGAGGCAAGUGGAAUUCCCAGUGUAGCGGUGAAAUGCGUAGAUAUUGGGAAGAACACCGGUGGCGCAGGCGACUUGCUGGGCUGUAACUGACGCUGAGGAACGAAAGCUAGGGGAGCAAAUG
RNAcentral lists this ribosomal RNA (404 nucleotides) under uncultured Vampirovibrio sp. Its description in RNAcentral is "bacterial SSU rRNA". It matches the Rfam family "Bacterial small subunit ribosomal RNA", at positions 356 to 774 of the family's 1533-position model. The record is from RNAcentral. Lineage: Bacteria; Bacillati; Candidatus Melainabacteria; Vampirovibriophyceae; Vampirovibrionales; Vampirovibrionaceae.